Molecule: long non-coding RNA, 673 nt
Filed under: Panax ginseng (ginseng)
Lineage: Eukaryota; Viridiplantae; Streptophyta; Magnoliopsida; Apiales; Araliaceae
Description: long non-coding RNA (PGIN_LNC001774)
Source: RNAcentral
CUAAUUCGUGGCAGAAGGCGAUGAACGCCAGUAUAUGGAUAUAGGAGUUGGGCACCAGUUGUGCGAAGCCUACUCCAAUAAACCCUAAGAGGGUAACUAUGAAGGCGUGGAGGGGUAGACGAAUCCCCUUCUCCAGCAGCGUAGUUGGCAUAGCGACCUAGCCGUCUGGUCGCUGGUACAUUCGCUCCUCAGCAGCUGGAGCCCUCAUAGCAUAGUUAUCCGGAACAUGGUAUCGAAUCCGGAGAGCUCGUAGUUCAGAUUCAGAGACGGUGGAGGUGAUGUUAGCGUGAGGAAAUUGUUCCCCAUCUUUGAAGAAAUCAGUUGGAGAUGGUGGAUUUGCACUUGAACCCUCUUGAUUAGGGUUUGAAUGAGAAGAACUUGAAGGGGUUUGGCUUGGAUUCACCAUUGUUGAGUUUUCGAAAGCUAAAGAGAGGUUUUCUGAGAAAGGGAAGAAGACUCAAAGGUUCGAAUUUCAAAUCGGUAGGUAAAACCGUCAAAUUUGGUGAAGUUUAUCUUUUAUACUGACGGUUACACGUAGAGCGAGGCCGGCGCAUUUAAUGUCAGUAAUGAUGAAAAUUCAAGUGGAAUGCGUUUGGAUGACCUUUGAAUAUCUUAUCAGAUUGGGCCUGACUGUUGGGUUUCUAUUUUAUUGGCCCAUCCUGUUCAAAUUCAA